CUAAACAUUUAAAGGCGCCGCCUGCCCAGUGAACAAUUAAACGGCCGCGGUACCCUAACCGUGCAAAGGUAGCAUAAUCAUUUGUCUACUAAUUAUAGACCUGUAUGAAAGGCAAAAUGAGAGUCCCACUGUCUCCUGUAAUCAAUCAAUAAAACUGAUCUCCCAGUCCAAAAGCUGGGAUGCAACUAUAAGACCAGAAGACCCUGUGAAGCUUAAACUAACUUAUUACCCUCACUAAUAACUACUUUAGGUUGGGGCGACCUUGGAAAAAAAAGAAACUUCCAAAAGUGACCUAUCUCACUAUACACGGCCCACAAGCCCCUCUCCGACCCAGACAACUGAUUACUGAACCAAGUUACUCCAGGGAUAACAGCGCUAUCUUCUUCAAGAGCCCAUAUCAAAAAGAAGGUUUACGACCUCGAUGUUGGAUCAGGACACCCCAGUGGUGCAACCGCUAUUAAAGGUUCGUUUGUUCAACGAUUAACAGUCCUACGUGAUCUGAGUUCAGAACCGGGGA
RNAcentral lists this ribosomal RNA (517 nucleotides) under Achalinus formosanus formosanus. Its description in RNAcentral is "partial 16S ribosomal RNA". It matches the Rfam family "Bacterial large subunit ribosomal RNA", at positions 1837 to 2624 of the family's 2925-position model. The record is from RNAcentral. Lineage: Eukaryota; Metazoa; Chordata; Lepidosauria; Squamata; Xenodermidae.